This 77-nucleotide ribosomal RNA is filed under the name Lacticaseibacillus paracasei. Its description in RNAcentral is "partial 16S ribosomal RNA". It matches the Rfam family "Bacterial small subunit ribosomal RNA", at positions 1 to 77 of the family's 1533-position model. Lineage: Bacteria; Bacillati; Bacillota; Bacilli; Lactobacillales; Lactobacillaceae. The record is from RNAcentral.
UUAUAUGAGAGUUUGAUCCUGGCUCAGGAUGAACGCUGGCGGCGUGCCUAAUACAUGCAAGUCGAACGAGUUCUCGU